UACGGAGGGGGCGAGCGUUAUUCGGAAUUAUUGGGCGUAAAGGGCGCGUAGGCGGCUGGGCAAGUCAAAGGUGAAAUCCCUCGGCUCAACUGAGGAACUGCCUUUGAAACUGCCUGGCUUGAGGCCGGGAGGGGGUAGCGGAAUUCCCAGUGUAGCGGUGAAAUGCGCAGAUAUCGGGAAGAACACCCGUGGCGAAGGCGGCUCUCUGGAACGCAACUGACGCUGAGACGCGAAAGCGUGGGGAGCAAACAGG
Molecule: ribosomal RNA, 253 nt
Filed under: uncultured bacterium
Lineage: Bacteria
Description: partial 16S ribosomal RNA
Rfam family: Bacterial small subunit ribosomal RNA
Source: RNAcentral